This 497-nucleotide ribosomal RNA is filed under the name uncultured bacterium. Its description in RNAcentral is "partial 16S ribosomal RNA". It matches the Rfam family "Bacterial small subunit ribosomal RNA", at positions 28 to 507 of the family's 1533-position model. The record is from RNAcentral.
GAUGAACGCUGGCGGCGUGCCUAAUACAUGCAAGUCGAGCGAACGGACGAGAAGCUUGCUUCUCUGAUGUUAGCGGCGGACGGGUGAGUAGCACGUGGAUAACCUACCUAUAAGACUUGGAUAACUUCGGGACACCGUAGCUAAUACCGGAUAAUAUUUUGAACCGCAUGGUUCAUAGGUGAGAGACGGUCGUGCUGGCACUUCUAGAUGGAUCCGCGCUGCAUUAGCUAGUUGGUAAGGUCACGGCUUACCAAGGCAACGAUGCAUAGCCGACCUGAGAGGGUGAGCGGCCACACUGGAACUGAGACACGGUCCCGACUCCGACGGGAGGCAGCAGUAGGAGAUCUUCCGCAAAGGGCGAAGACCUGACGGAGCAACGCCGCGUGAGGGAUGAAGGUCUUCGGCUCGUAAAACUCUGUUAUGAGGGAGGAACAUAUGUGUAAGUAAAUGUGCACAUCUUGACGGUACCUAAUCAGAAAGCCAAGGCUAACUACGUG